UAAAGAUGGGCAUGCGUGACAUUAGCUAGUUGGUAAGGUAACGGCUUACCAAGGCUACGAUGUCUAGGGGUUCUGAGAGGAUGAUCCCCCACACUGGUACUGAGACACGGACCAGACUCCUACGGGAGGCAGCAGUGAGGAAUAUUGGUCAAUGGGCGCAAGCCUGAACCAGCCAUCCCGCGUGCAGGAUGAAGGCCCUAUGGGUCGUAAACUGCUUUUAUACACCAAGAAAAAUUCCGACGUGUCGGGACUCGACGGUAGUGUAUGAAUAAGCAUCGGCUAACUCCGUGCCAGCAGCCGCGGUAAUACGGAGGAUGCAAGCGUUAUCCGGAUUCAUUGGGUUUAAAGGGUGCGUAGGCGGCUUUUUAAGUCAGUGGUGAAAUCUUGCCGCUUAACGGUAAAAUUGCCAUUGAUACUGAAGAGCUUGAGUACAUUUGAGGUAAGCGGAAUGUGUAGUGUAGCGGUGAAAUGCUUAGAUAUUACACAGAAACCAAUUGCGAAGGCAGCUUACUAAAUGUUACUGACGCUGAUGCACGAAAGCGUGGGGAGCGACAGGAUUAGAUACCCUGGUAGUCCACGCCGUAAACGAUGCUCACUCGCUGUUUGCGAUACACAGCAAGCGGCCAAGCGAAAGCAUUAAGUGAGCCACCUGGGGAGUACGAUCGCAAGGUUGAAACUCAAAGGAAUUGACGGGGGCCCGCACAAGCGGAGGAACAUGUGGUUUAAUUCGAUGAUACGCGAGGAACCUUACCUGGGCUUAAAUGUAGAGCGACAGAUUGUGAAAGCAGUCCUUCUUCGGACGAUCACAAGGUGCUGCAUGGUUGUCGUCAGCUCGUGCCGUGAGGUGUCGGGUUAAGUCCCAUAACGAGCGCAACCUUAUCGUUAGUUGCCAGCGGGUUAAGCCGGGGACUCUAGCGAGACUGCCACCGUAAGGUGUGAGGAAGGUGGGGAUGACGUCAAAUCAGCACGGCCCUUAUGUCCAGGGCUACACACGUGUUACAAUGGCCGAUACAA
Molecule: ribosomal RNA, 1014 nt
Filed under: uncultured bacterium
Lineage: Bacteria
Description: bacterial SSU rRNA
Rfam family: Bacterial small subunit ribosomal RNA
Source: RNAcentral